GGGUAUGUGUGUGAGAGAUAAAAAGAAGGGGAUGUAGCCAUUUAAAAGUCUAUCUAGGAAUCAUUAUGCUUCAUGUUUUACGAAUACUUUUAUCUCUCAAUCUUUACAACAACAACAACAAAAAAUCUUUACAACAACCCUGAGUAGUUAUUUCCCCAGUAAGGGGAUCACCUGGAGGUAUCAGAGCGUCCUGAACAGGGACUGAGAGCUGGGCUUCAAACACUGAGCCAACUCUGCAGCCUACAUCGACUCCUCUAGUCCACGCCCUAAACACGAGACUGUCUCAUGAAUGUGACUUCGCCUCUCAGUUUUUUCAUAGCAAUUUUGUGACUUUUGGGGUUCCUUCAUAGUUCAGUUGGUAAAGAAUCUGCCUGCAAUGCAGGAGACCCAGGUUCAAUCCCUGGGUCAGGAAGAUCCGCUAAAAAAAGAAGAGAUAGGCUACUCACUCCAGUAUUCUUGGGCUUCCCUUGUGGCUCAGCUGGUAAAGAAUCCACCUGCAGUGUGGGAAACCUGGGUUCAAUCCCUGGGUUUGGAGAUCCCCUGAAGAAGAGAAAAGCUUCCCACUCCAGUACUCUGACCUGGAGAAUUCACAGAGUCAGAUUGGGCUGAGCAAACUGCCCUGGCAAGAGGCCACCAGAAAUUCCAGUUGCAGAAGACUGUAAUCUUCCUUCACAAAAAGGCCUGGAAAGUGCCGCUGCUGCUAAGUCGCUUCCGUUGUGUCCGACUCUGUGCGACCCCAUAGACCGCAGCCCACCAGGCUCCUCCGUCCUUGGGAUUCUCCAGGCAAGAACACUGGAGUGGGUUGCCAGUUCCUUCUCCAAUGCAUGAAAGUGAAAAGUGAGAGUGAAGUCGCUCAGUCUUGUCCGACUCUUCGCGACCGCGUGGACUGCAGCCUACCAGGCUCCUCCGUCCAUGGGAUUUUCCAGGCAAGAGUAUUGGAGUGGGGUGCCAUUGCCUUCUCCAAUGCCCUAUUGCUCUUAAACAUCUCUAACCCUUACUCAAGAAAAGGGCAAAGGUUAAGUAAAAAUGUUUGGCAUAGUCGAUUUCUUAAGAAUAAUAAAAAUGCAUACUCACACUAUGGAUAAACUUUUUAAAGUAUGUUCUGCCUUAUUUUCUGAGGUAUAAAAAUAUUUUAAGGCAAUUUCAAUGAAUCAGAUUUCAAGAAACUACUAGAACAUCUUUUGUGAGUUGCUUUCAUUUUGUCUGAAUUAUGAUAUGUAUUUCAACACUGUGCUCUACCAGAGUAUGUAGGUUUGUCUGUCACUUCACAGCUGUCAAAGGGAAAUUCUUAUUUUAAAUCUCUAUAUCAUCAUUGAAUAGUUCUAAUAAUAAAAGGCCUAAAUUUUAGGUCCUCAGGGAUAUCAAGGUAUCUCAUCUACUGUGUUGUUCAAGCUCUGGCAGCAUGUUGUAAAACAGAUAUGUAAUAAGCAAUAGAGGGUAAG
Bos taurus (domestic cattle) is the source of this 1442-nucleotide long non-coding RNA. The record is from Ensembl. NCBI's taxonomy places the organism in Eukaryota, Metazoa, Chordata, Mammalia, Artiodactyla, Bovidae.